CACCCCGUAGGAUGGGUUGAGCGAAGCGAUACCCAUCACCGUGGCCGCAUGGGUUUCGCAAGCUCAACCCAUCCUACGAAAAG
Molecule: unclassified non-coding RNA, 83 nt
Filed under: Pseudomonas citronellolis
Lineage: Bacteria; Pseudomonadati; Pseudomonadota; Gammaproteobacteria; Pseudomonadales; Pseudomonadaceae
Source: RNAcentral